RNAcentral lists this long non-coding RNA (1326 nucleotides) under Homo sapiens (human). RNAcentral's name for it is "long intergenic non-protein coding RNA 1193". Lineage: Eukaryota; Metazoa; Chordata; Mammalia; Primates; Hominidae. The record is from RNAcentral.
CCCCCAGUAUAUAAGGUAUGCUAAGGGGGCGUCGCGCUGUUGCAGGCUAUCGUGUGUUAACCUGUACUUCUGCCGCAGAGUUUGGAGAAAGCGGCAGCAGAUUGUGCUGCCGCAGGCUGGAGCCUGGAACCUGGAGCCCUGGAGCCUUGAAUGGUGUGUGGUGGCAAUGGAGAGAGGCAGCUGGCAGUGACAGCUGCUCCGUGCUUGGCUACAGGAAGGAAAGAAGGAGAAAGCACCUACCAUAGGCUGGAGGCUAGAGCCUGCAGGACUGCGGCUGGCCUCGCUGGCUCGCCUCCCUGGCUGGCCUCGCUGUGGUUGGUGGCAGCGACGGAUACUGCAGCUGGCCAGAGUGUAGAAAGGCAAUGGGGUAGGCUUUUUUGGCUGUGUGUGUCCAGCUGUUCCAUGCCAGGAGGAGGAGGAGUUACAUGCUGGAAGCUUGCAGAUAGCCUGGGGCUGCUGCUCGCCUUGCUGCGGUUGGUGGCAGCUACCGAGACUACCUCGCACCAGAGCGCAAGGUAAGCUGUCAUCAGUUGGAGGUAAGCAGAAGACAGUAGAGAGUACAGAGCCCUGGACUGUGACUCAGAGGAUGAGCACCAGAUCCAGUUUGCUGUGCCACAGUGCUCAGCAUGAUGUAAACUCCACUGCGGACAGAUGCAGCCAAGAAGACAGGUCACCUUCUACCAACUCCCACCAGAGGAAACUCUUCCCCAGGACCCAGUACGUUGGCCCUCUGACCCUGCACACAGCACAUGAUGCUGAGGUUCAGUGCUGAACAAGAGCUACUGAGAGCCAGAGAUUCACUUCUUCCAUGGAGCCCCACUCAUGGAUGGAGGCUCUGUCCCGGGUCCAGUGCCACUGGGAACACUGGGUCUCUGGUUUCUAGCUCUGUCCUAUGGCAGAGGUUCCACCCCACAAUAACCGAAGUGCUGAGAAGGUGGGAAGCUCCUGCCCGACCCUCCACUGAGAGCUCAGCUCCUAGGCUGAGGAAUAAAACAGCUCAACUUUGUCUACACCUGCAGAACCUUGUUUAGGAGCUCUGUCCCAGGAGAGAGGGGGCAAUGGAAUUCAGUCAUAAAAUAUGAUCCUUAAUUAGUCCUAAAAAUCCUAACUUCAGUAACAGCAGAUUGUGGACAAAUUGAAAGCCUGCCAGUGCUCUCAAAAACAGUGGAUGGUGUGGUGGAAAGCCCUUGGAAGGAGACGGGUGGAUGCAUGGGAGAUGCAGGCUACACUGCAGGGCUGCUGGCUUGCAGGAGAGAACCGAGGACAAGGGAGAGCUGGGGAAAGUUCUCUUGUGGUUGAAAUAAAUGCCAGACACUCUUCAAUGGA